This 210-nucleotide unclassified non-coding RNA is filed under the name Hevea brasiliensis (rubber tree). The record is from RNAcentral. Lineage: Eukaryota; Viridiplantae; Streptophyta; Magnoliopsida; Malpighiales; Euphorbiaceae.
CUGAUUGCGCGCGGCCUCGAUGUGCUGGUCCUUGGCGAAGCCGAAGCCUUUCACACCGGCGUCGAUGUCGAGCGGCUGAAGAAAAUCUCGAUCGUGCUGAUUUCCGCGAUGACCGGCGUCGCCGUGUCGAUCUGCGGCGUGGUCGGCUUUGUCGGCAUUGUGGUGCCGCAUCUGUUGCGGAUCGUGAUCGGCCCCGGCCACCGGCUGCUG